RNAcentral lists this ribosomal RNA (253 nucleotides) under uncultured bacterium. Its description in RNAcentral is "partial 16S ribosomal RNA". It matches the Rfam family "Bacterial small subunit ribosomal RNA", at positions 524 to 776 of the family's 1533-position model. The record is from RNAcentral.
UACAGAGGUCUCGAGCGUUGUUCGGAUUCAUUGGGCGUAAAGGGUGCGUAGGUGGCGCUGUAAGUCAGGUGUGAAAUUUCGGAGCUUAACUCCGAAACUGCAUUUGAUACUGCGGUGCUUGGGGACUGGAGAGGAGACUGGAAUUUACGGUGUAGCAGUGAAAUGCGUAGAGAUCGUAAGGAAGACCAGUGGCGAAGGCGGGUCUCUGGACAUUUCCUGACGCUGAGGCACGAAAGCCAGGGGAGCAAACGGG